AGUGAACGCUGGCGGUACGCCUAACACAUGCAAGUCGAACGGCAGCACAGUAAGAGCUUGCUCUUACGGGUGGCGAGUGGCGGACGGGUGAGGAAUACAUCGGAAUCUACUUUUUCGUGGGGGAUAACGUAGGGAAACUUACGCUAAUACCGCAUACGACCUACGGGUGAAAGCAGGGGAUCUUCGGACCUUGCGCGAAUGAAUGAACCGAUGUCGGAUUAGCUAGUUGGCGGGGUAAAGGCCCACCAAGGCGACGAUCCGUAGCUGGUCUGAGAGGAUGAUCAGCCACACUGGAACUGAGACACGGUCCAGACUCCUACGGGAGGCAGCAGUGGGGAAUAUUGGACAAUGGGCGCAAGCCUGAUCCAGCCAUACCGCGUGGGUGAAGAAGGCCUUCGGGUUGUAAAGCCCUUUUGUUGGGAAAGAAAAGCAGCAGGUUAAUACCCCGCUGUUCUGACGGUACCCAAAGAAUAAGCACCGGCUAACUUCGUG
Molecule: ribosomal RNA, 492 nt
Filed under: uncultured bacterium
Lineage: Bacteria
Description: partial 16S ribosomal RNA
Rfam family: Bacterial small subunit ribosomal RNA
Source: RNAcentral